This 466-nucleotide ribosomal RNA is filed under the name uncultured bacterium. RNAcentral's name for it is "bacterial SSU rRNA". It matches the Rfam family "Bacterial small subunit ribosomal RNA", at positions 28 to 507 of the family's 1533-position model. The record is from RNAcentral.
GACGAACGCUGGCGGCACGCUUAACACAUGCAAGUCGAACGAAGUUUUGGAAGUUUACUUUUAAAACUUAGUGGCGGACGGGUGAGUAACACGUGAGGAACCUGCCUAUCAGAGAGGGAUACCGUUUGGAAACGACCGUUAAUACCUCAUGACGCAUGACUGGGGCAUCCCGGACAUGCCAAAGAUUUUAUCGCUGAAAGAUGGCCUCGCGUCUGAUUAGCUAGUUGGUGGGUAACGCCUACCAAGGCGACGAUCAGUAGCCGGACUGAGAGGUUGACCGGCCACAUUGGGACUGAGAUACGGCCCAGACUCCUACGGGAGGCAGCAGUGGGGAAUAUUGCACAAUGGGCGCAAGCCUGAUGCAGCAACGCCGCGUGAGGGAAGACGGUUUUCGGAUUGUAAACCUCUGUCUUUGGUGAAGAAGAAAGUGACGGUAGCCAAGGAGAAGCCACGGCUAAACUACGUG